ACGGAAGGCAGCAGUGGGGAAUAUUGCACAAUGGGCGAAAGCCUGAUGCAGCGACGCCGCGUGAGCGAUGAAGUAUUUCGGUAUGUAAAGCUCUAUCAGCAGGGAAGAUAAUGACGGUACCUGACUAAGAAGCACCGGCUAAAUACGUGCCAGCAGCCGCGGUAAUACGUAUGGUGCAAGCGUUAUCCGGAUUUACUGGGUGUAAAGGGUGCGUAGGCGGUUUUAUAAGUCUGAUGUGAAAGCCCGGGGCUCAACCCCGGGACUGCAUUGGAAACUGUAGAACUAGAGUGUCGGAGAGGUAAGUGGAAUUCCUAGUGUAGCGGUGAAAUGCGUAGAUAUUAGGAGGAACACCAGUGGCGAAGGCGGCUUACUGGACGAUUACUGACGCUGAGGCACGAAAGCGUGGGGAGCAAACAGGAUUAGAUACCCUGGUA
This 434-nucleotide ribosomal RNA is filed under the name uncultured Lachnospiraceae bacterium. RNAcentral's name for it is "bacterial SSU rRNA". It matches the Rfam family "Bacterial small subunit ribosomal RNA", at positions 341 to 792 of the family's 1533-position model. RNAcentral also lists the same sequence under 1 other name. The record is from RNAcentral. Lineage: Bacteria; Bacillati; Bacillota; Clostridia; Lachnospirales; Lachnospiraceae.